RNAcentral lists this ribosomal RNA (820 nucleotides) under uncultured bacterium. Its description in RNAcentral is "bacterial SSU rRNA". It matches the Rfam family "Bacterial small subunit ribosomal RNA", at positions 8 to 810 of the family's 1533-position model. The record is from RNAcentral.
AGAGUUUGAUCCUGGCUCAGGAUGAACGCUGGCGGCGUGCCUAAUACAUGCAAGUCGAGCGAACAGACGAGGAGCUUGCUCCUCUGACGUUAGCGGCGGACGGGUGAGUAACACGUGGAUAACCUACCUAUAAGACUGGGAUAACUUCGGGAAACCGGAGCUAAUACCGGAUAAUAUAUUGAACCGCAUGGUUCAAUAGUGAAAGACGGUUUUGCUGUCACUUAUAGAUGGAUCCGCGCCGCAUUAGCUAGUUGGUAAGGUAACGGCUUACCAAGGCAACGAUGCGUAGCCGACCUGAGAGGGUGAUCGGCCACACUGGAACUGAGACACGGUCCAGACUCCUACGGGAGGCAGCAGUAGGGAAUCUUCCGCAAUGGGCGAAAGCCUGACGGAGCAACGCCGCGUGAGUGAUGAAGGUCUUCGGAUCGUAAAACUCUGUUAUUAGGGAAGAACAAAUGUGUAAGUAACUAUGCACGUCUUGACGGUACCUAAUCAGAAAGCCACGGCUAACUACGUGCCAGCAGCCGCGGUAAUACGUAGGUGGCAAGCGUUAUCCGGAAUUAUUGGGCGUAAAGCGCGCGUAGGCGGUUUUUUAAGUCUGAUGUGAAAGCCCACGGCUCAACCGUGGAGGGUCAUUGGAAACUGGAAAACUUGAGUGCAGAAGAGGAAAGUGGAAUUCCAUGUGUAGCGGUGAAAUGCGCAGAGAUAUGGAGGAACACCAGUGGCGAAGGCGACUUUCCGGUCUGUAACUGACGCUGAUGUGCGAAAGCGUGGGGAUCAAACAGGAUUAGAUACCCUGGUAGUCCACGCCGUAAACGAU